This is a small nucleolar RNA of Rattus norvegicus (Norway rat), 71 nucleotides long. Ensembl annotates it as small nucleolar RNA, C/D box 113 like 2. Its record names the gene Snord113l2. The record is from Ensembl. NCBI's taxonomy places the organism in Eukaryota, Metazoa, Chordata, Mammalia, Rodentia, Muridae.
CUGACCAGUGAUGAGAAUUCUGGGGUGUCUGAGUCAAUGAUUUUGAUUAGCCCUGUAACUCUGAGGUCCAG